Populus trichocarpa (black cottonwood) is the source of this 1406-nucleotide long non-coding RNA. RefSeq lists it as uncharacterized. Lineage: Eukaryota; Viridiplantae; Streptophyta; Magnoliopsida; Malpighiales; Salicaceae. The record is from RefSeq and is a predicted model, not a curated record. The transcript is spliced from 2 exons.
GAAAACACAACCUUACUCAGCUUCAAAAAUUCCGAAAUUUUUACCUAAGCUUCCUCACGUACUGGAGAUAACCUCAGAAAAAUUUCAUAAAAGAACUCCCUUCACUUGAGCCUGGAUCACAGACCUGAGACAGUAGCUUCUGCAAUAAGCUUCUCCAGGACAGCAGCUGUGCAACAGCUCUUCACUCCCAUGAACCACGAGUUUCUCCAAUUAUAGAAAUCCCCAAAAUUUUCCCAAGGUUUCCUCACAUUUAUUUCAACUUCCCAAAAAAAUUUCAUCCCAAGAUUCUUUAAUGUGUUGAUGUUGUUUUUAAAUCGUCAAUUUGUUUUUUGGUGAAAUUUGCAUGUGCAUGCCUGAUUUUCGUUGUGCGCUUAAUUUUCAUCGUGAUGAACUUUGCUUAUGAGUUUUAGUAGUGUUUUUUACAUAUAAAAAAUAACAAAAACAUGAAAACAUAGUAAUUAAUUGCUGAUAAAACCUUUGGCUGAAAAUAUACAAGGAAAAACAUGUAAGCCACGUAGAGUUUUUUUUUUUUGUUGUUGUCGCUGGAGAUUUAGGCAAUGAGAAUGACUCGCAACAAGCAUAUGCAGAUGUUAAAUAACGUAACUGUGCUAUAUAUGCUGAUAUUGCCACCGUUUGAUAUGUUAAACAAUCUCAAAAGAAAGCUCAGGAAAUUAAGAAAGUGCUUAAUUAUAAGGUGAACUAAAAUACAUAUAGAGGCAGUGAAUGCCAGCAAAAGAGUCCGUAGACACUGACAAAAGGCAAGGUGUGAUCAGGUGAAUAGCAGAGUGAAAGCCAUUUUUCCAAAAGUAAGGAGCAAUCUAUACCAAGCGAGUUAAUUAUCCCGUGUCAAGAGCAAAUUGUUAGUGUCAAACAUGAAUGGCACCAGGGCGCGGCUGACAUAAAUAUUCAAAGGCUGAAAUCAUGUCUUCGAAUAUUGAAAGGAAAAGAUUAACCAAGGUCAUCCUCCUUGUAUAUAUAAAAAGCAUCAAAGGCUAUACCAUGCCUGCAUAAAAGAAUGCAAGAGCUAGCCGUGAUGAACGAAGGGCAUCAAUAAUGAACCAAAGUCAACAUCGGUACACUUUUUCCAUGAAAGUCUAAGCAGAGCAAUAUUAAGCUGGUAUAUGAGGCUCGAGAUCAAGAGAUGGAGAAAGUUCUUCGUGUAGCCCCUGCUGUUCCAACAUCAGAUUCCUUCACUAACCACUUGCAGAUGUUUCGCUUUCGUUCCUUACGGCUUAUUUUGUUGUAUCAGUUACAAAUACUGAUGUUGUGCUGGUAUUGCAACCAUAAUUAGCACCCGAGAUGCUUAAUUCUCCACCUUUUUUGAAUUGUUAAGACAUCGUGCUAAUAACCUAUUCCGUAUGGCUGAUCAGUUUAUUCUCAAUGCUUACCAAGUUUUUUUUAUUUCA